CAGUAGCCACGGUAAAACAGAGGAUGCAAGCGUUAAUCGGAAUUACUGGGCGUAAAGCGUGCGUAGGCGGUUCGUUAAGUCUGUUGUGAAAGCCCCGGGCUCAACCUGGGAAUGGCAAUGGAUACUGGCGAGCUAGAGUGUGUCAGAGGAUGGUGGAAUUCCCGGUGUAGCGGUGAAAUGCGUAGAGAUCGGGAGGAACAUCAGUGGCGAAGGCGGCCAUCUGGGACAACACUGACGCUGAGGCACGAAAGCGUGGGGAGCAAACAGGAUUAGAGACCCCCGUAGUCCCUGUCUCUUAUAC
This 301-nucleotide ribosomal RNA is filed under the name uncultured bacterium. Its description in RNAcentral is "partial 16S ribosomal RNA". It matches the Rfam family "Bacterial small subunit ribosomal RNA", at positions 509 to 807 of the family's 1533-position model. The record is from RNAcentral.